Molecule: long non-coding RNA, 953 nt
Filed under: Pogona vitticeps (central bearded dragon)
Lineage: Eukaryota; Metazoa; Chordata; Lepidosauria; Squamata; Agamidae
Description: lncRNA (ENSPVIG00000019086.1)
Source: RNAcentral
ACUUAGGAGACCUGUGUUCUAAUCCUUGAUUGGCCAUAGAAACUCAUAGGGAGGGGGUCAGAAUUAGUAAAACCACUCCUUAAAUACCUCACUUACCUCGAAAGCCCUAUUAUAGGCUCUGACUUGAGGGCACAUGACAUAUAAUUUAGUAUGGACUAAGGAGCAAUCACUUAUUGCAUGCCUGGGCUCAGAGGCUUCCUUUAUCCAAAGUGGAUAAUUCACUUUUUAUAGCAUUUACAAGUCAUUUGCCCAGGGUUCAAGCCUGCAUAGUAGCUGUAUGUACAGAUUUGAAAAUUUGGCUCCUUUCUCACAGUUUUGUAAAGGUUUUAUUUCAUACAAAAAGAAACGUCACACUGUGGAAUGAUGCCCUGAGCCCCUUCUGUCACUAUACAGUUGCUGGAGUCAUUGUCCAGUAUUUCCAAUAUUCCUAACAACAGCUAAACUAUAAAUCCAGGAGAUCAUGGAUUGUACCAGGCAGGACUCAGGUCCUAACAGUUAGAGGUGUUUCAGCAGCCAGCAGAUGAAGCUAUUCAACUAUUUUCUGCUGUGAAAAUAGAUUGGUGGUAAAUUGCAGAUAUCUCUCUCCUCCUGUGUACUUUUUCUUUCCAAAUCUCUCUACAUCAAUUUUGUCGUCUUAUCUCUAGUGGCAUAUCUACAUCUGGCACUGAGGCUUGCUUAAAGAAAGAGAGGGGGAGAGGGAGAGAGAGAGAGAGAGAAGAGAGAGAUGCAAUUGGAGUGAGAAAGGGAAACAGAAAUGUUUCAUGGGGUGGCAAAAAUGGGUGUUUGUGUCAGGAACUGUAAGAAUCUGUUCUUACGGUUUAGUUUCUGAUUCUCAUGGUGCAUUAGCACUAAAAUGAUCAUGAUAGUGCCACAGUGUUAAAUUCCACCCCUCCAUCACAGUACAAACUACCACAAGAAAUAAACCAAGGGUUUCAGGAGGGAUAAAAUAGCGU